RNAcentral lists this ribosomal RNA (529 nucleotides) under uncultured bacterium. Its description in RNAcentral is "bacterial SSU rRNA". It matches the Rfam family "Bacterial small subunit ribosomal RNA", at positions 355 to 894 of the family's 1533-position model. The record is from RNAcentral.
UGGGGAAUAUUGCACAAUGGGCGCAAGCCUGAUGCAGCGACGCCGCGUGGGGGAUGACGGCCUUCGGGUUGUAAACUCCUUUCGCCAGGGACGAAGCGUUUUGUGACGGUACCUGGAGAAGAAGCACCGGCUAACUACGUGCCAGCAGCCGCGGUAAUACGUAGGGUGCAAGCGUUGUCCGGAAUUACUGGGCGUAAAGAGCUCGUAGGUGGUUUGUCACGUCGUCUGUGAAAUUCCACAGCUUAACUGUGGGCGUGCAGGCGAUACGGGCUGACUUGAGUACUGUAGGGGUAACUGGAAUUCCUGGUGUAGCGGUGAAAUGCGCAGAUAUCAGGAGGAACACCGAUGGCGAAGGCAGGUUACUGGGCAGUUACUGACGCUGAGGAGCGAAAGCAUGGGUAGCAAACAGGAUUAGAUACCCUGGUAGUCCAUGCCGUAAACGGUGGGCGCUAGGUGUAGGGACCUUUUGGGGUUUCUGUGCCGUAGCUAACGCAUUAAGCGCCCCGCCUGGGGAGUACGGCCGCAAGGC